GUGUAUAGCUCAGUGGUAGAGCGCUCCCCUAGCAUGGGAGAGGGCUGGGGUUCAAUUCCCCAUACCUCCA
Molecule: transfer RNA, 70 nt
Filed under: Caenorhabditis japonica
Lineage: Eukaryota; Metazoa; Nematoda; Chromadorea; Rhabditida; Rhabditidae
Description: tRNA-Ala (AGC) (tRNA-Ala-AGC-5-1)
Rfam family: tRNA
About the family: Transfer RNA (tRNA) molecules are approximately 80 nucleotides in length.
Source: RNAcentral